ACAUAUGUGAGCUGGGAAGCGAAGUAGAAACAGAUCCAAAAAUGGAAGAGAUUUCAACCAAGGAGGAGAAAAGGCCACUGAGACUUCUGAGGCCUUGAAGAUGGACAAGCUGAAGCCAGUGGCUUCUCUCAGCUUCUCUCAGCUGUUGCAGCACAGACGGAAGCCUAGUGUAUCAUGAAAGGUAAGAGUAAGCCUUUCAAAACAUUUCCUUUCUUUCUGGUCUGCAGGAAAAGAAUUCUUUUCAACCUCCCUGACCACCAUACCUUGUUGUUAAAAGGAACCAGUGUGACUAAUGAGAAAAGUAUUGCAUGUAUAAGGCAAAAGUUUUAAAUGGGAAUCUUAAUGGAGAAGUUUGCAUCAAGCCAUGUGCAAUGUCUACUUAGGGAUAUUUAAAUACCAAGGCUUUGUAAAGCAUGUUGGUGAACUGGGCAAUUGGGUAUCUAUUUCCUGUUUCCAGACAGCCAGAUGUUCUGCCACAGCCUCAUGGUGAAUGAAAAUAUUUCUAAUUAAUGCAGCCCCCUUUGAGAUGGAUUGUUCCAGAACAUGCAAUGAUACACUUUGUUAAUGAGGCGACUUUCAUUAACUUUGUGCUUUGUGCUAGCUGAAACCUUUGAGCUAUCAUUUAUCAUGACACAGCUAGCUAGGGACAAAACCAGAUGGCUUCAUUUCUUCCCGGGGAGGAGACAUCACUGCUAUUUGAGGGCCCUCAAGAAACACUGGAAGGAAUGAAAACGUACCUCUACUUGAAAAAAGGCAAAGCAAAACCAAGAACCUGGCAUGAGAGACGUUCAAAUAGAAAUCGAAUGCCCUUUCCUGGUCUUUCAAUGAAAGACAAAUCAUGAAAACAGAGAUGCUAGAACUGUGUGGCGGAAGCUGUGGGUGUCCACCCAAAGCCCAAUUACAUGGCUCAGACACUCGCCCCUGCCACACGGCAACUCACGGCUCACACGGGCACCCAUUCAGAAGAUUGCCAUUGGCCAGCGGAAGCCGCCUCACCUCAGGUGCCUGAGAGACUGCAUUUCCUCCUCUACAGUGGCUCCCGAGAGCAUUUCUUCAUUCAACAAGAAUACUUGGCUUCAACUCUACUUCCAGGGACACUGAACCAUAAGGGAAACUCAGUGGCUCACCCAGCCUGUCAUUCACCACGAUGCACUUCACACUUAGCUGGCUUGGAGAACUUGGAGAACAGGCCUCUCAGCAGCUGGCAGCUGACCUGGCUACAUCUGCAGUGAUUACAAACUGCAUCCAAGAUCAUCUGACUUGCAGGAAAUCCAAGGACAAAGGCUGGGGCCCCUGACCCUCCCAGCCCCCCACCCCUCAGGCAGAGACCCCUGGAGGGGCUCCAAUCUCCCAAGGUCACCGAGUUUAUUGCCGUACAGCCUGGCCAAGAGCAGAGGUCUUCCCGGCCAGGCACACCCUGCCAAGUCACAAAGACUUUACUGUAUAUAUUCCAGACAGAGUAGGAAGAAAUUCAGGUUUUUCCACCCCAACAAAGUACUGUGGAUUAUUUGCAAGAAGUCUGGAAAAUUCCAGAAGUCUGUUUUCAAAAGACGCCCACUUGGCUGCCCAAGAGUUUGAGAAUAAUCCCUCAUUCAGAUAUGGAAGAAGAUACACUCUGUUGAAAUUGCCAGACUCCACACUGGAUUCCUUGAAAGAGCUGGAGACGGAGCAACUGCAGGCCCCAAAUCCCGCUGCUCGGACACUGUUCCCUAAGCUGCCAAAAGCUGGCCCAGGGUGGGGAGCCCACUCCUCCCGAGUCCCCCGGCCCCACCCAGCACCUGCCUUGCAUUGGCAUCCGGCAGUCCUGGAUCUGCUUUGCAUGACUUUAAUUCUAGUUCUUCUCAACUUCGGCAGCUCCCUUUCCUCCCCCCCAUAGUGUGCCUUGGCCCCUGCACAUAGAUCAAAUUGAAAUUCCAAUUCAUGGACAUAAAUUGUCCAUGUGAUUUGAGUAAGUGAGACAAGACCCAGGGCUGGUUAUUUUUCCUGGAUUCCUAGACAGGGUUAUUUACAUGCUGGAAGGCACUGGUUGCAUGACUGACUGUUGUUCUUGGAUGGACCCAUACGUUGCUUCUGUGUUGAGGGCAAGUGAAACAGGACCACAAGGGAAAACUGGUGCCUGGAUUAAGAGAAUUUGUCGGUGGUACCUAGAAACUAUUUAUAAAGGUAUAGAAGAGAAUUUGUAAAAUAUACAAGUAUAAGAAAAUCUGAAAAAGAAAUCCUGUCUUCCCAAAUAAUGUAGACUAAAAUCGGGUAUAAUACACCAAAUAUUUAAGAAGAUACCUAUGGUAGAUCAUUUUCAACAUACAAUUAUAAAUGUCACUCUAAGAAUUUUAUAAUGUAGAUGUAAUUGUUCUAGUCCUAAAACUUUUUUGUUCUAUGAAACAAUUUUUUAUUUAAAACAUUUUAACUACAGAAAAGUUAAAAGUUAAUAAAACAAACAUCUGUGAAUCCUUAACUGAAAUUUGAUAGCUGUUAACAUUUCUUCAUAUUGUUCCAAGCAUUAUUUUAAAUUAGAGAAAUAUAACUUUCAGAUCAAGAACAUUUUAUGCUAUUUAUGAUCUAACUUUGGACCACCACUUAGAGUCAACCUCUGCCAUGAACUUAAAUAUACACACACACACACAUAUAUACACACAUGUAUAUAUACACACACAUAUCUACAUAUGUUUAUUUACAUAUGUAUAUCUACAUACAUAUGUAUAGAUGUGUAUAUAUACAUACAUAUGUACAUAUGUAUUCCAAAUAACACAGGGUAGUGGAGAGCAAAUAUUUUUCUGUAAAUGGCCCGCUGAGAAACAUUUUCAGCUUUGCAGACCAUAUGGUCUCUGUUGCAACUACUCAGCUCUGCCACUGUGUGUGAAAGCAGCCACAUAUAAUAUGUAAACAAAUGGGAAUGGAUGUGUGCCAAUAAAACUUUAUUUACAAAAACAGGCAGUGGAUGGUACUUUGCCAACUCCCGCUAUGGAACAUCGUUUUGUGUGUGUGUGUGUGUGUAAAUUUAUAUCAACAGAGCUACAGU
Molecule: long non-coding RNA, 3019 nt
Filed under: Callithrix jacchus (white-tufted-ear marmoset)
Lineage: Eukaryota; Metazoa; Chordata; Mammalia; Primates; Cebidae
Description: lncRNA (ENSCJAG00000076800.1)
Source: RNAcentral